GACGAACGCUGGCGGCGUGCUUAACACAUGCAAGUCGAACGGAAAGGCCUCUUUCGGGGGGUACUCGAGUGGCGAACGGGUGAGUAACACGUGAGUAACCUGCCCUUGACUUUGGGAUAACUUCAGGAAACUGGGGCUAAUACCGGAUAGGAGCUCCUGCUGCAUGGUGGGGGUUGGAAAGUUUCGGCGGUUGGGGAUGGACUCGCGGCUUAUCAGCUUGUUGGUGGGGUAGUGGCUUACCAAGGCUUUGACGGGUAGCCGGCCUGAGAGGGUGACCGGCCGCAUUGGGACUGAGAUACGGCCCAGACUCCUACGGGAGGCAGAAGUGGGGAAUAUUGCACAAUGGGUGGAAGCCUGAUGCAGCAACGCCGUGUGCGGGAUGACGGCCUUCGGGUUGUAAACCGCUUUCGCUCAUGACGAAGCUUUGUGUGACGGUAGUGGGUAAAGAAGCACCGGCUAACUACGUG
Molecule: ribosomal RNA, 467 nt
Filed under: uncultured bacterium
Lineage: Bacteria
Description: partial 16S ribosomal RNA
Rfam family: Bacterial small subunit ribosomal RNA
Source: RNAcentral